Molecule: non-coding RNA, 1143 nt
Organism: Dromiciops gliroides (monito del monte)
Lineage: Eukaryota; Metazoa; Chordata; Mammalia; Microbiotheria; Microbiotheriidae
Source: the annotation of a RefSeq genome assembly
AUGGACAUCUACUUCCUCUGCUGUGCAACCUUUUGUCUCCUAGGUACAGGCCUUAUGAAUGCCAGGGUCACCCAGAGCCCCAAACACCUGAUCACAAGGAUUGGCCAGGCAGUGACCCUGCAGUGUGAUCCAGCACCCACUUUUGAUGUCCUCUACUGGUACAGACAAAAAUCAGAUCAAAGGCCCCAGUUCCUGUAUGACUUUCGGGAUAAUACAGUAGUGGAAUCGAAGGUGGAUAAGUCUAGGUUUAUAGCCAACUGGCCCAAGUCCUCAUCUUCCACUCUCAAGAUUGGUUUCACAAAAGUAGAAGACUUGGCUUUGUAUCUCUGUGCCAGUUGCAAAGGCACAGGCUAUGGGACCUACUUCGGAGAGGGGACUCGGCUAACAGUCCUGGAUAAUCUGGAAAGGGUGACUCCCCCCAAGGUGACUGUGUUUCAGCCAUCUGAGGAAGAGAUUGAGAAGAAGGGAAAGGCCACACUGGUGUGUCUGGCCACAGGCUUCUACCCUGACCUCGUGGAGCUGAGAUGGUGGGUGAAUGGACAGGAGACCCAAGUUGGGGUCAGCACGGACCCUCAGCCCUCCAGGGAGGAGCCCCAUAACAACCAUUCCAAAUACUCUCUGAGCAGCCGCCUCCGGGUUUCUGCUCCCUUCUGGCGCAACCCCAAGAACAGCUUCCGUUGCCAAGUACUGUUCUAUGGCAUCUCUGAGGACGAGACCUGGACAAGUAACCAGAACAAACCUGUCACCCAGAAUGUCAGUGACCAGAUCUGGGGAAGGGCAGAUUGUGGUAUUACAUCUGAGUCUUAUCAACAAAGUAUCCAAUCUGCCACCUUCUUCUAUGAAAUCCUGCUGGGGAAGGCCAUGCUAUACGGUCUGCUGGUCAGUGCCCUGCUGUGGAGAGCUAUGGCUAAGAAAAACCAUUCCUGAGGCCAGCUGUGAAGGUAACAACAGGAAGGAAAGAACAGGAGAAUCCAGCGCACUAUCUUGGCUACUGCUUUUUCUAUUCCUAUCCUGUGUUCCAGAAGAGCUAUUAUCUCCUCAAUCAGUAUCUUCAUCUUUCACAGGUCUUCUUAAAGAGCUCAAAGAAGACAAGGAUGGUGGCUUAAUCCUGAAGAAAUAAAAAAAAAGUUCUCGCCCUGCUUA